CCUACGGGAGACAGCAGUGGGGAAUAUUGCGCAAUGGGCGAAAGCCUGACGCAGCGACGCCGCGUGAGGGAUGAAGGUCUUCGGAUCGUAAACCUCUGUCAGCAGGGAAGAACGGUCACUGUGCUAAUCAGCAGUGAAUUGACGGUACCUGCAAAGGAAGCACCGGCUAACUCCGUGCCAGCAGCCGCGGUAAUACGGAGGGUGCGAGCGUUAAUCGGAAUUACUGGGCGUAAAGCGCUCGUAGGGGGUAUGUCAAGUCAAGGGUGAAACCCCCGCGCGCAACGUGGGAACUGCCUUUGAAACGAGGAAACUGGAGUGUGAGAGAGGAGAGGGGAAUGCCAGGUGUAGGAGUGA
Molecule: ribosomal RNA, 354 nt
Filed under: uncultured bacterium
Lineage: Bacteria
Description: partial 16S ribosomal RNA
Rfam family: Bacterial small subunit ribosomal RNA
Source: RNAcentral